Molecule: ribosomal RNA, 372 nt
Filed under: uncultured diatom
Lineage: Eukaryota; Bacillariophyta
Description: partial 16S ribosomal RNA
Rfam family: Bacterial small subunit ribosomal RNA
Source: RNAcentral
GAAUUUUUCCCAAUGGGGGAAAGCCCGACGGAGCAAUACCGGGUGAGGGGAGAAGGCCUAUGGGUUGUUAACCUUUUUUUUCAGGGGGGAAAAAUUGAAGGGUACCUGAAGAAUAAGCAUCGGCUAACUCCGUGCCAGCAGCCGCGGUAAGACGGAGGAUGCAAGUGUUAUCCGGAAUCACUGGGCGUAAAGCGUCUGUAGGUGGUUUAAUAAGUCAACUGUUAAAUCUUGAGGCUCAACCUCAAAAUCGCAGUCGAAACUAUUAGACUAGAGUAUAGUAGGGGUAAAGGGAAUUUCCAGUGGAGCGGUGAAAUGCGUAGAGAUUGGAAAGAACACCGAUGGCGAAGGCACUUUACUGGGCCAUUACUAACA